Molecule: ribosomal RNA, 253 nt
Filed under: uncultured bacterium
Lineage: Bacteria
Description: partial 16S ribosomal RNA
Rfam family: Bacterial small subunit ribosomal RNA
Source: RNAcentral
UACGUAGGGACCGAGCGUUGUCCGGAUUCAUUGGGCGUAAAGGGUGCGUAGGCGGUCGUGCAAGUCGGAUGUGAAAUCUCAGGGCUCAACCCUGAAACUGCAUUCGAUACUGCGCGGCUAGAGUGCUGGAGGGGAGACUGGAAUUUACGGUGUAGCAGUGAAAUGCGUAGAUAUCGUAAGGAAGACCAGUGGCGAAGGCGAGUCUCUGGACAGCAACUGACGCUGAGGCACGAAGGCCAGGGGAGCAAACGGG